Molecule: ribosomal RNA, 269 nt
Filed under: uncultured bacterium
Lineage: Bacteria
Description: partial 16S ribosomal RNA
Rfam family: Bacterial small subunit ribosomal RNA
Source: RNAcentral
ACGGAGGGUGCAAGCGUUAACGACGAUACUGGGUUUAAAAGGGUGCGUAGGCGGCGCUAUAAGUCAGAGGUGAAAGGCCACCGCUUAACGGUGGGACUGCCUUUGAUACUGUAGUGCUUGAAUCAGGCUGAGGUCGGCGGAAUGUGACAUGUAGCGGUGAAAUGCUUAGAUAUGUCAUAGAACACCAAUUGCGAAGGCAGCUGACUAGACCUUGAUUGACGCUGAGGCACGAAAGCGUGGGGAGCGAACAGGAUUAGAUACCCCGUGUC